Aquila chrysaetos chrysaetos is the source of this 4594-nucleotide long non-coding RNA. RefSeq lists it as uncharacterized. The transcript is spliced from 3 exons. The record is from RefSeq and is a predicted model, not a curated record. NCBI's taxonomy places the organism in Eukaryota, Metazoa, Chordata, Aves, Accipitriformes, Accipitridae.
CAUGCGCAGCGGGCGCCGCGGAGGGAAAGGCCUGUGAGAGGGGAAUGGCUGGAAGUGCGCCGGGGCCGCCGCACCGCCCGCCCUUGGGGACCGUCGGUGUGGCGGGAGGUCUGUCCUCACCGCCUCAGUGCUGCCCCCGUCCCGUCUGGCCUGGCGGCGUUAUCCCGGUGGCUCAGCCUGCUCUGGCCCGGCCCUGGGCCGGGGUUGGUUGGUAAGCCCCACUCUCUGCCAUUAGGCUCCUCGCUUGCCAAAAACGAGGGGGAAAGCGGCACCGCGUGCUGACAGGCCAGUGGUGACGAAGUGACUUACGUGGUGGCCUGCAGUGUGCCAGUGACACCUCAUGACUGGCAGUCACAGCUAAAUGCAAAGUGAAAAAUCUCCCCAAGUCAUACACUUCCUGGUCAUGGUGGUGUUACAGCAGCAUGUGCUCGCAGCAGCAUUUCCUAAGUGUUUGUGGGCCACUUCUUGCAAAUAUGUUUGGAAAUCCUUCUAAAGAUAGGUUUGGUGCUGUACUGGAAGUGAUCUCCACUCUUAACACCACCUUUGGAAACAGCUCUAAGGAUAUAGAGAUAUAUUUGGGGGUUACUGGGGAUUUACAGCUGAUCAGCUUUGCUUUAGGUGCACAGACAGCAGUCAGUCUCCUUAACACAGGUGCAGCAUUGUGCCAAUGUAUGUUGCUUGAGCGUAAAAGGAGGAUGAGUGCUUGUCAGUGUCUCGGAGACUAAAGAGGCUUUUUGGAUGUGUCCUGGUCCUGUGCAGUGUCCACUUCUCUCUCCAGAGCAAUGAGUUCACUCAGUCACUGUUCACAGCCUUUUUGAGUCCAGUGAGGUUUGCUUUCCUAAGUUUGGUAGUAACCCUGCAGAUGCCAGCUAGCGUUUUUAAAAGCUGUGUACUGCACCAUGUUUCACAACUCAUUCUAUAGCAUAACCAUGUAUUUGUGAUUUUUUUUUCCAUUCUCUGGGAUAUUUCUGUCCUUACUACACUGGGUAAUGGAUUUGUACCUCAUCUAGCCUUACGUUGUGGCUUCAUUGCCUCAGGAUAUUUCCGUGUCUGAGCCUAUACCUACAUUGGCAAGUAAGAGAAGUUCUGAGCGAAAGAAGGGGAGCUGAGGAUCUGACAUCCACACCACUGACAUGCCAGUCCAGACCAGCUUUAGUCUAGUCCUAUGGAUGCAGUGACUGCUAGGGUUGGACCGCAUUGGGUAUGUUCUGGGGAUGUAUCUGUUGGCUUGGUUUCCUUCAGAAGGAAUCCAUUAUGCACACUGCAAGACCCUGCAUGCCAAGUGGGAGCAGUUAGAAGGUUUCCUUCAAAAGUGCGCUGCUGAUCCUAACUGGAAUAUUGAUGUAGAGAUACGUCAUGUGUACCUAGUGCACUCCAUCCAUAUUACUAGGCUAGGGCUGACCUGAAGUACAUCCUACCUGAAAUGCAUAUAGUAUGUGUAUCAGGAUCUCAACAUUAAGUAGCUUUGCUGUGCAUACCCACUCUUAUCAGUAUGUUAUACUUGCUAAUAUAGACACAAUCUCAGUUUAUUUGGCUGUAAAUUUACAUAGUGAUGCGUAUACAUCACUGUAUCAGAAUGACUGGAGAACAGCAUGGUGAACCUUGGUAUUUGCCAACCAGUAAAUGACUGUGAAAGAUGUUAGAAGAAAAGUUUUUGAAUGGCAGCAUGUGACAGGGUUUCUCCCAGAGACUUCUGAUUUCCUGUACAGAUUUCUGGCUGCAGUUUGCUGAUCUAACAGACAGACCACACAAGUAUUUUAGUACUUGGAAGCCACACAGUGUAAACAGUCUGCAAAUAAUCUUUUGUUAAGGUUUGAAGUAUUUAAAAAGUGGUUAUUUUGAUUUUUUAAUAAACUUUUUAGGCCUUUUUUAUAAUCUUCCAAACAUUUUAUUGAUUUCUAUAGCUAUUACAUUUAUGGGGUCAGUUGUUGGAAAUUGCAGGCAAGUUGCUGAAUAGGGUAAACUUUUUUUUAUAUGGAUCAAAUUACCUGGAGAUAUUUUGUUCUGCCUGUAAAUUUUUUUUUGUCUCUUUUAUUAACUGCCUUCCUUGAUAAGUCCUCUUUCUGGACACACUAAAUUGAAGCACAGUUUGUCCUAGACAAAUGGAAAUUUUCAGCAGCUGCAGUUUUUUAAUAAGCUGAUAGGAGGAAAUGUUAUUUAUAACUCCCUAUAACAGCUCCUCUCUAAUGCACAGUAAUCUGCUGUGACUUUACAGUGAACACAGCAACAUGUGGUCUCCUGCUCUCCUACAGUAACCUGCAGAAUACUUUCCACAUGAAGGAUACUUUAAUCACUGGGUUGCCUGUAAAUUUCCCGGAGGAUGAUAAAAGCAUUUCUUUAUGUUAUUGCUAACUUUGUAAAUUUAACGUGAUGUUUUCCCAUCCCUCUUUCUUAGGAACAUGAAGCAAGUAAAGCUAGAUUUUCUCACAGUCUUCUGUGGAAUAGUAAUUUACUGUACAGCAGGGAAGUAGUAAAGAAGCAGGCAUUCUUAUAAAGCAUUAAAUUCCAAAACUUUGAAAAACUCAAUUAAUGGGAUAGAAGAUGAGUAAAUUUCCAGUUUUCCACAGAAGGUGGCAGCAUUUUGAAGCACUGAUGUCAGCGUGAACUUGCUAGCAAAUGUCACUUUGCUGAAAGAACACAAACUUUACAGAAAUUCACUCUCAGAAGUUGUGGAGCAAUAACACAGCUGAUGCAUGGAUCAUCAGAGAGUAUCCUGUUGGGCUGCAGCUUCGGGAGAUGCAGUGACCCUGUGGUGAUGGUGCAUUGAGCUGAAGCGGCCCAGGGAGAGCAUGGUGUCCUUGCUCAUGAGCACCACGUGCAGGGCUAAAGUCCUCUUCCUGGCAGGUCUGAGUCAUUGGCAUGAGCCAGGUAGCUGUAGGAGUUGUAGGUGAAAGAGGCAGUUCCUCUAUGAAAUUCCUGUGUAGAUGACAUGUGGGACAACAGGGGUUGGAGGGCGCCUUGACUGCCUGGAUUUAAAGAGCUUUAGAGGGGAUCUUGCCAAGAAAGGAGGGGGCCGAUGUUGAAAAUGGAGGGGGGGGAGGAAUUGGAGCAAUUUUUUUUUUUGCUUUGGUGUUUUUCUUUUUGCAGGGAGGCAGAAAAAAAAAUGGGCUGGGACUUGUCCAGUUUGCUCACAUGCUGAAUGUGAGAUUUUUUGAGGGGAUGAGGGGAGCAGGGAUAGAAAGGACUGUAGAAAGCUAUAUCUGGAGGAAAGGCUGGCAGCUGGUGUGCAGAGACUUGGGGCCAGGCCAGACAGUGGAUAUGUGAGUGGUGCAUAGGGGCUCAGACAAUUACAGAAAAAACGGAAGGGGCCCGUUCAUUUGGGAACUGCUAAGCAAGCUGCUCCAUUCUGUUGACUUGAAGGGCUGAAACAGUUGACUACUAGAUCUCAGUUGGAAAUGGCAACCUGCAGCAGGGAAGAGGUAAGGAGAAGCUUCCUAAACCACAUCUGGGGAGGAAUUCUUGAAAAGGGAGCCGUUUUCCAAUCUCUGUAAUGGUCAGUCUAGGCCUCGGAGUGAUCGCGCUCUGCUACAAUCAGCAUGUUGAUGCCUGAAGUGUGACACUCGAUGCCAUAUUGACAGGACCAUGUUGACCUGCCUGGAGUGACCAGUGGUUUGACAUUUUCUUGACACCAGCUCCUGUAGAGUUGUAGACUGUCCUCCAUAGCCCAUUCUGCUAAGUCUGGUAAACUGUGCUGUUAGAUGUCUUGGUUUCUAAAAAGAGCAUUAAUCCUUCUUCUGUUCAGUGUGAAAUAUAUACCAUGGGUUAGUUUCUCUGCAUUCAUAGAACCAUAUUUUUCUAUUUGAAAUUUUCAGGUUUUCUGUUUGCCAAGAGUUGACAUAAUAAACUACAACUUAAAAUCUUGGUCUUUAUGAUCUGGUACUAAGACAGCUAAGGUCACAGAUGGCUCUUGGGUAUCCAAAGGCCUCAUAGAUAAAAAGAACAGUACCUUGCAUUGACUCGCAAGAGCAAAUUGAGAAGAGGUGGAUGUUCUGGAGCACGUAUGUAAUAUGUCCUGUUUUGAGCAGAGGGAUCGGACUAGACAAUCUCUAGAGGUCCCCUCCAACUUCAACUACGGUGUGAUUCUGAACUAGGAAGAAAGUUUUCUUUAAGAGCUGUCUGCAACCUUUGUGACUUGGAAUUUCAUUUUCAUUAUACUCCAUCUUUCCAGUAAUGAGUACAUUGAUAACUAACGAUUUUCUCCCACCUCCAACAUUUCAUAUCCCUGUUGCUGUCUGGAUACUCCAAUCGCAUGUAAAGCCAAAUAAAGACCCUAUGAAUUCAUACUGUUUUGAAUAGAGGGAAAAUUCUGGAUUUUGGCUCACUGGUGAAACUGUGUGCAAGGUACAAAGAUAUCCCAUAGCAAAAAUGUUUAUGGCACUUGUUGCUAGCCUGUGUGUCCCCUGCAAGAACCGAUGUGUCUAUAUUAUAUGUUUCAGAAAAUCUGAUUGGGAAAGCUUGAAGAUAUCCAUAGUAAAAUUUGAUUGUUGCCACUUUGGACACUGUGCUUUGAACAAUGCAUUUUCCCUAAUGAGGUGUAAGGAAGAACACUCUACAUUUGGGGGAAAAACAACAACUUUGUAGACAUUUGCUAGAC